AGUCUUUUCAUAUUUUCACCGGCCUGUUGGUUUUAACUGAUCAAAAGUCAUCAAGCCACCUGUUUUUCACUGCAAAUAUCAAAUUCAUUUCAAUACAAUAGAAAAAAUGAUGUGAAUUAGUUUGCAUAGAAAAAAACCUGAGACUAGAACUGGUAAAAAUUUCUGUGCAUUCACAAUUGUGGGGAACUGAAAAAAUAGAGAAUCCAAAAUGGGGAGAAUCCGAUAUAGACUAUGUUAAAUCUAAUAAAUUUAUACUCCAACCCAUU
Non-coding RNA from Schizosaccharomyces pombe (fission yeast), 266 nucleotides. Lineage: Eukaryota; Fungi; Ascomycota; Schizosaccharomycetes; Schizosaccharomycetales; Schizosaccharomycetaceae. The record is from the annotation of a GenBank genome assembly.